CGAAACUCUCUAGAAAUCUCCAUAUCUAUUCCUGUUGAAGACGACGGUUACAGGAAUUGAUAAAAACUCAUCUCAAAUUCGAUUCAUGAUCAGAGUUUUGAUCGAGGAGAAACCGAGAAGGAAUUGUAAAUUUUGGUUUCAUGGCGAUUCAUUUUGAGUAAUCCACUAGUAUCCGCAAUUACUGAACUGUCCAGGGUCACCAAAGCAAAAAAAUGAUAAUAUACAUGCAAAACCUCCCUUGUCGAUUACGUCUCAGAUUCGCAAUGUUCAAGCACCGUGUAAUACAUCUUAUGGCCUGGUGGAUAUAUUUCCAGUAGAAGAUCGCAAAAGUGCUCUACACGAGUCACUCGUGGACAUCAAUGCUCAAGUAGCCACUGCCCAUGACAAUGGAGUGACCGAGCAGCUCCAUUUACAAAUACUGAUUUAAAAUUAUGCACACUGCUCCUGAAAUGCGGAAAGAUGUAAAGUUUGUGGAGAUAUGAUCCCUGCAAGACAUGCUGAAGAACAUUAUCUUGAUGCUCAUGCUCCGGCCAAGGCUAUGAAGGAUCCAGAGAUUCAAAACAAUCUAUCCGAUCUAGUCAGGAGACAGAAGCCAAGAACCCAGCAACAAAAGAGGUAAUGAAGAAGAAAACAUACAAGAACAGACGUCCAAGUGGUGAUAAAAUCUACAAUGUUUCCAACAAUCAACUUCCCGCAGCUCUGGAAAAUUGAAAUUUGAUAAGCAACUCGGGGUGGAGAACGUAUGAAGGAUAAUUACUGAAGUAGAUGGUUACCAAUCACAUCACCCCUGAACAAGCAUAUCGAUGUCUCAUUGAAUCUGCGUUAAUUGUUGUUAGAGGUCAUUCGUUAAUUGCUAUUAGAUGUCAUGCAGAGGUAGCAAUGAUGCAGUAUGCAUUACUUUAACUCGGU
Molecule: long non-coding RNA, 909 nt
Organism: Papaver somniferum (opium poppy)
Lineage: Eukaryota; Viridiplantae; Streptophyta; Magnoliopsida; Ranunculales; Papaveraceae
Exons: 8
Source: RefSeq, a predicted model, not a curated record